RNAcentral lists this unclassified non-coding RNA (338 nucleotides) under soil metagenome. RNAcentral's name for it is "partial contains 5.8S ribosomal RNA, internal transcribed spacer 2, and large subunit ribosomal RNA". The stretch from base 1 to 120 matches the Rfam family "5.8S ribosomal RNA", at positions 35 to 154 of the family's 154-position model. The record is from RNAcentral.
GAUGAAGAACGCAGCGAAAUGCGAUAAGUAAUGUGAAUUGCAGAAUUCAGUGAAUCAUCGAAUCUUUGAACGCACAUUGCGCCCGCCAGCAUUCUGGCGGGCAUGCCUGUUCGAGCGUCAUUUCAACCCUCAAGCUCUGCUUGGUGUUGGGGCCCUACGGUUGACGUAGGCCCUUAAAGGUAGUGGCGGACCCUCUCGGAGCCUCCUUUGCGUAGUAACUAACGUCUCGCAUUGGGAUUCGGAGGGACUCUUGCCGUAAAGCCCCCAAAUUUUCUAAUGGUUGACCUCGGAUCAGGUAGGAAUACCCGCUGAACUUAAGCAUAUCAAUAAGCGGAGGA